CCUACGGGAGGCAGCAGUGGGGAAUCUUGGACAAUGGGCGCAAGCCUGAUCCAGCAAUGCCGCGUGGGUGAAGACGGCCUGCGGGUUGUAAAGCCCUUUUAGCGGGGAAGAAAGCCCUGGGUUGAACAGACCUGGGGGGUGACGUUACCUGCGGAAUAAGCCACGGCUAACUCUGUGCCAGCAGCCGCGGUAAGACAGAGGUGGCGAGCGUUGUUCGGAAUUACUGGGCUUAAAGGGCGAGUAGGCGGUGGAGCAAGUCUGAUGUGGAAUCCUACGGCUUAACCGUAGAACUGCAUUAGAAACUGUUUUACUUGAGUCAGUGAGGGGAGGGCGGAAUUCCUGGUGUAGCGGUGAAAGCGUAGAUAUCAGGAGGAAGGCCUGUGGCGAAGGCGGCCCUCUGGCACUGUACUGACGCUGAGGCGCGAAAGCGUGGGGAGCAAACGGGAUUAGAUACCCCGGUAGUCCUAGCCAUAAACGAUGGACACUGGAUAUUCCUGCGUCUAUGUGGGAGUGUCGAAGCUAACGCGUUAAGUGUCCCGCCUGGGGAGUACGGUCGCAAGGCUGAAACUCAAAGGAAUG
RNAcentral lists this ribosomal RNA (579 nucleotides) under uncultured bacterium. RNAcentral's name for it is "bacterial SSU rRNA". It matches the Rfam family "Bacterial small subunit ribosomal RNA", at positions 338 to 911 of the family's 1533-position model. The record is from RNAcentral.